RNAcentral lists this ribosomal RNA (768 nucleotides) under uncultured bacterium. Its description in RNAcentral is "bacterial SSU rRNA". It matches the Rfam family "Bacterial small subunit ribosomal RNA", at positions 28 to 776 of the family's 1533-position model. The record is from RNAcentral.
GACGAACGCUGGCGGCGUGCCUAAUACAUGCAAGUCGAGCGAAGUUUUUCUGGUGCUUGCACUAGAAAAACUUAGCGGCGAACGGGUGAGUAACACGUAAAGAACCUGCCUCAUAGACUGGGACAACUAUUGGAAACGAUAGCUAAUACCGGAUAACAGCAUUAACUGCAUGGUUGAUGUUUAAAAGUUGGUUUUGCUAACACUAUGAGAUGGCUUUGCGGUGCAUUAGCUAGUUGGUGGGGUAAAGGCCUACCAAGGCGACGAUGCAUAGCCGACCUGAGAGGGUGAUCGGCCACACUGGGACUGAGACACGGCCCAGACUCCUACGGGAGGCAGCAGUAGGGAAUCUUCCGCAAUGGGCGAAAGCCUGACGGAGCAACGCCGCGUGAGUGAAGAAGGAUUUCGGUUCGUAAAGCUCUGUUGUUAGGGAAGAAUGAUUGUGUAGUAGCUAUACACAGUAGAGACGGUACCUAACCAGAAAGCCACGGCUAACUACGUGCCAGCAGCCGCGGUAAUACGUAGGUGGCAAGCGUUGUCCGGAAUUAUUGGGCGUAAAGCGCGCGCAGGUGGUUUAAUAAGUCUGAUGUGAAAGCCCACGGCUCAACCGUGGAGGGUCAUUGGAAACUGUUAAACUUGAGUGCAGGAGAGAAAAGUGGAAUUCCUAGUGUAGCGGUGAAAUGCGUAGAGAUUAGGAGGAACACCAGUGGCGAAGGCGGCUUUUUGGCCUGUAACUGACACUGAGGCGCGAAAGCGUGGGGAGCAAACAGG